AAAGUUGUUUGUAUGGUAUUCUCUGAGUGGUCUUUCAUUUCUCAUACCGUUCUUUCUAUCUUUUUAUCUAUCUUCUACACCAUUGCUGCUAAGCGUUGAAGACCUUUCUUAUCACCCUCCUUAUCAACACUCUCUAUCUCUUUCUAGCCUUCCUCCUCUGGUUCCUCCUCGCAGUUUCCGUUAGUAUUGGACUCUUAGCUGCUCAGCAAGAGGGUCAU
This is a long non-coding RNA of Arabidopsis thaliana (thale cress), 218 nucleotides long. RefSeq annotates it as other RNA. The record is from RefSeq. The transcript has 2 exons. Lineage: Eukaryota; Viridiplantae; Streptophyta; Magnoliopsida; Brassicales; Brassicaceae.